Molecule: long non-coding RNA, 530 nt
Organism: Salvia splendens (bonfire salvia)
Lineage: Eukaryota; Viridiplantae; Streptophyta; Magnoliopsida; Lamiales; Lamiaceae
Exons: 2
Source: RefSeq, a predicted model, not a curated record
CUCCUUUAGCGGUUCUGCCUCCUCUCCAAAAUCCAGAUUCUCCAUCUCUUCUCCACCUCACCUCCAUCUCUUCUCCACCCCGUCGCCUCCCCUCUAUCUCUUCUCCACCCUGUCGCCUCCAUCCUCCAGCCGUGCUCCAUAGUGUAGCCCGUUGCCUCCAGUCUCCACGUCGGCGCCCCUCCACCCAACGACUCAUCGCCUCCUCCCUCAAUCAUCCAUGCCGCUCAAAAAGAAGAUGGUGAAUAAUGAAAGGCAAUCCAUUGGAGAUAGCAUUGAAAACAAUGUAACUGAAGUUACUCCCCACGAGGAUGACAAAGGAGAUGAAAAAAAGAGAACUUGAAAAGAGGAAUUUGAAACUUCGAAGAUAUUGAAGAGUGAACAAUUAUUAGAUAGUAGUAUGAAAUUUUUAUUUUGGUUGAUAUUGAUGUUAAUUUUCAUUUUGUUGGUUGAUGGAUGUUAAACACGCUAUAGUUUUGUAAUUUCUUCUUUUUUUCAGUUUUUUAUACAAUUUCGGUUUUUCAGUUUUUUCA